CUCCGAGGUUCGGUGCUCGAUCAAUGAGAGAAGCAACCACGAUGAUACCCGCAUCGGUGUUCCGUGUAAUUUUCCGUGCGAGUGCAGCUUUCGAGACUUCCGAGAGUUCGUCGGUAAACGGUGUCAUCGAUUUCCAAGUAUUUACCGGCUGAUUUCGGGGGUCGUUUGAGAAAUUUAAUUCUUUUCCAUUUGGGAGAGCAUUCCUGCGGGAUUGGAUAAUUGUGACCAUGGACAAACUGCCAUAUAGAGGCUUUGAUCCACUCGUCCGGCGGUAAGCCCGUUAAGCGUGGCAGAUGCUCAUAAAUGAACUAAAAAUUUGUCCAAACUUGAGUAACAAAUGUUGUCGAGCCUUGCGAGACGGUUUGAAUAAAUAAAAAUACCUCUAAAUUGUA
Long non-coding RNA from Venturia canescens, 392 nucleotides. RefSeq lists it as uncharacterized. Lineage: Eukaryota; Metazoa; Arthropoda; Insecta; Hymenoptera; Ichneumonidae. The record is from RefSeq and is a predicted model, not a curated record. The transcript is spliced from 2 exons.